RNAcentral lists this transfer RNA (81 nucleotides) under Glomus cerebriforme. It matches the Rfam family "tRNA". Rfam says of the family: Transfer RNA (tRNA) molecules are approximately 80 nucleotides in length. Their secondary structure includes four short double-helical elements and three loops (D, anti-codon, and T loops). The record is from Rfam by way of RNAcentral. Lineage: Eukaryota; Fungi; Glomeromycota; Glomeromycetes; Glomerales; Glomeraceae.
GCUCAGUUAGUUCAGUUGGUAGAACGCUAGAUAUUUUAUUUUUUUAUCAUAGAAACGUGGGUUCGAUUCCUGCACUGGGCC